This 468-nucleotide ribosomal RNA is filed under the name uncultured bacterium. RNAcentral's name for it is "partial 16S ribosomal RNA". It matches the Rfam family "Bacterial small subunit ribosomal RNA", at positions 28 to 507 of the family's 1533-position model. The record is from RNAcentral.
GACGAACGCUGGCGGCGUGCUUAACACAUGCAAGUCGAACGGAAAGGCCCUGCUUUUGUGGGGUGCUCGAGUGGCGAACGGGUGAGUAACACGUGAGUAACCUGCUCUUGAUUUUGGGAUAACUUCAGGAAACUGGGGUUAAUCUCGGAUAGGAGCCCCCGCUGCAUGGUGGGGGUUGGAAAGUUGCGGCGGGUGGGGAUGGACUCGCGGCUUAUCAGCUUGUUGGUGGGGGAGUGGCUUACCAAGGCUUUGACGGGUAGCCGGCCUGAGAGGGUGACCGGCCACAUUGGGACUAAGAGACGCCCCAGACUCGUACGGGGGGCAACAGGGGCGAGUAUUACACAAUGAGCGGGAGCCUGAUGCAGCAGCGCCGCGUGCGGGAUGACGGCCUUCGGGUUGUGAACCGCUGUCGCCUGUGACGAAGCGUGAGUGACGGUAAUGAGUGAAGAAGCACCGGCUAACUACGUG